Molecule: long non-coding RNA, 4304 nt
Filed under: Homo sapiens (human)
Lineage: Eukaryota; Metazoa; Chordata; Mammalia; Primates; Hominidae
Description: HSALNT0340952
Source: RNAcentral
CUGGCCCUUUCAACAGAAGGCAUUGUGACAUAUCUCUGGUCCUAUCAUUUAUGUGACAUGACUCUCCUCUUCUGCCUGGACACUGCCCACAAGGGGCAUUGUGCCAUACAGUUGGGCAUAGCCCCGAAGUUAUGUUACUUUUCUGCCAGGAACUUGCCUACAAGGAGAACAUCAGAACAUUUCUGCCUCAGCAUAUAGGUUAUAUGGCUGUCAUGCCUUUCAUUACCACAGAGUAAGUUUUGACAUUUACCUAGGCACAGCUCACAGGCAUGAUAAUGACUCUCAUAUGUGGACCCCACAAGUAGGAGUAAUUUUGACUCUUGUAACUUGCUUUAGAAACAUAAGUGAUGUCUUAGAUCUCUUUCUGGCGAAAAGGUCACAGAAGAUUAUAACAGCCUCAGAUAAUUUGCAGCCCUUGGCUUGUACAGAGAGUGUCAGAACAGAACCCAGCAGAAAGGAGAAAUUGUGAGUCUCAUAUGUACACCCAGCUGACUGUAAGGACUGUCACCAUCUUACAUACAUGAAGCCAACUGUCACACAUGAAAAGAGGACAUGUGUGGUAUUGUAAAUCUCAUCUCGAAUAUUCUCUCAGUGUGACUGUGAUAUAAAUCUUUGCCAAGCAUCUGUGUGAUUUGACUCUCCAAACUGGUUCCAGCCCAUAUAUACGGGAUUGUGAUCUCUACCUGGGCCAACCUCUAGAUAAUGUGACUCUCCUGCCUGGGCCCUUCUCUCAGUAAGGGUUGUGACAUAUCACUGGAUCUAACACCCAAGUGAUGUUACAUUCUUGCCUGGACCAUGCACAGAGACAUCAUUGUGACAUAUCACUGUGUCCACCACUUAGGUGAUGUAACUCUCCUCUCUGGAAUGGACCCUGAAUACGGAGUGGUAGUGACAUCUUCCUAGGCCAGACACACAGGUGUUGGUACUCUUUUUCCAGGGCUAUGUUUCAAGGAGGGCAUUGUGACAUAUCUCUGGACCUAUCACCGAGGUGAUAUGAUUCAACGCUUGGGCCUCACCGACGUAGAACAUUGUGACAUAAAAGUUAAACCUGCACCAAAGGUGUUGUAACUCUUUCACCUUGGUCCUGUCCUAAGGGAGCCCUGCAACAUAUCUCAGGACCCAGCACUCAGGUGAUGUGACUCUUCUGCCUGGUUUCUGCCCAUGUGUUAGACUGUGACAUAUACCUAAAGAAGUGCCUAGGUGAUAUGACUCUCCUAUUCUUCCUGAGUCCUGCCUACUGGGGACAUUGGAAUAUGUCUCUGAGCCCAUGGCCUAAGUUAUAGGACUCUCUUCUUCUGCCAGGGCCUUUAAAAUGGUGGGGUUUUGACAUAUUCCUGAGCCCAGCAUUUAGGUCAUCUGACUCUACUCUUUUAUCUGAACCAUGUCAAAGGGAAAUUUUGACCUAUUGCACCCAGAUGAUGUUACUCUUCUGCCAGAGUCCUGAAUAAAGAGGGAAUUUUUGCAUACUGGUGGGCCCAGCACCAUGAUGAUGGUACUGUCCUGCCUGUGCCAGAGCCAUAGAGAGUAUUUUGAAAUAUCUUUGGCCCAUUCUGUAGGUGUUUUGGCUCUCAUCACUUGGCUAAGUUUUUCCACAUGUGGAAUUGUGUCAUAUUGUUGGGUCCAGCACACAGUUAAUGUGACCCUCCUUCUUAGGUUCUGCCUAGAGAGGGCAUUGUGACACGUUGCUUGCCACAUCACCUAAGUGAUGUUACUCUUUUUCUUAAUUUUUUGCCCACAAAUGGGAUUAUGACAUAUACCUUGCUUCAGUCCAUAGGCAUGAUGGUCAAACUUAUACUGGGAUGCAGCCAAUAGAAGGUAUUUUGCCUCUCAUUGCUAGGCUUAGGGCAAUAGGUAAAAUCCUCGGUUGCAUAUUUGUGCAAAGCUCACAGAAGUUUACAACACUGAUUCAUAUUGUAUAAACUCCUUAGGUGGUACAGAGAGCUUCAUAACAAGGCCCAGCAAAAAGUUAAGAUUAUGACUGUCAAUUACACACUCAAGUGAAAGUAACAGUUGUCACCAUCCCACAUUUAAAAAGCCCACUGUUGAGGUACUGAGUCUAACAAUUGAAAAGAGUACAAAGAUGGAAUUGUGACUCUCAUAUGUGGAUCUGGCCACAGGUGCAAUCGUGACUCUUUUUUGAACCCAGCUCACAGGGAUAAAAAUGGGUCUCAUUCCUGAACUCAGCCUGAAUGAGAGAUGUUGACUAUCAUGCCUGUGUUUAAGGCAAUAUAUAAGAUUGUGAGUCCAUAUGAGCAUGUGGGCCUUAGAGUAGUUUGCAACUCUCAUGCAUGCCGUAUAAAGCCCUCAGAUGUUGUAGAGGAUGUCAUAUGAUGGCCCAGCACACACGUGACAUUGUGACUCUCAUAUACCCACCUAGCUAACAGUUAAAGGUGUCACCCUCAAAGAUGAGGAGAUUGUGUCAUAUCGCUGGGCCUAGUACCCAGCUGUGAAAACUUUUGCUUAAAUUGUUUCCCAUGUGUGCAUUGGGACAUAUUGUUGGGUCAGAAUCAUAAUAAUGUGACUCUUCUGCCUGGGCCCUGCCAACAAGGGAUAUUAUCACAUAUCUCUGAGCCUAUCAGCUAUGUGAUUUGCCUACUUUUCCUGUGCUUUGCCCCCAAGGAACAUUGUGACAUCGUUGGACAUAGCAUCUAGGAAAUGUGACUCUUCUCUCCUGCCUAGGUCCUGCCCACUAAAGGAAUUGUGACAUACCACUGAGUGCAAAACCUAGCUAGGUGAUGUGACUCUCCUCUUCUUCUUCAGCCCUGUCUACAGUGGACAUGGUACCACAUGACUUGAGGCUGUAUCCAGGUGAUGUGACUCUUCUGACUUGGCCCUGCCUGCAAAGGAAAUUAUAAUAUAUCCUGAGCUCAGAAUCCAGGCGAUGAGACUCUCCUGCCUCUUUUCUGCCCACAAGUGAAAUUGUGACUUAUACCUGCGUUCAGCUCACAUGCACAAAUAUAACUAUUAUACCUGGACCCAGAAAGGAGAGAUAUUUGGACUCUUAUAGCCAGUCCUAUGGCCAUAAGUAAAGUAAAGGGUCCCCUGUUUGUAUAAAGCUCACAGAGGAUUAUGACACUCAGGCACAUCAUAUAAAGCCUGAGUGGUACAAAGAGUGUCAUAGCAGGGAACAGCAACCAGGUGCGAUUGUGACUCUUGGAUGCUCACCCAGCUGACCCGAUUGUCAUUCUCUCACAAGAACAGGGCCUACAUACAAGUUUUUCCAUAAAUUCUUCCCUGAGCCUUGAAGUGAGCCUCUGGUGGUCCAGUGAUCAUUACCAUCCUCACUUUAGCAUCUGGUGCUUCUGCUGGAGCAAUGUUAAUUGAAGCUCCGGCAAAGCGAGAAAGCUGCUUGAUGUGCUUGGCCCUGCUUGCCGAUGAUGACACCGACUGAUAGAGCCUGGAUAAACAGAUGAACAGUCUCCGUUUCUGAUUGCUCAAACUGCGGCUUUGGCACAUGCCUCAACAUUGCCUUUAACUGUAAUGGUGCGUUCUGGAUUAUACAGCGUCAAUUCCUGAAAGCACCUUGAUGGCCUUGAGGGCCCAGCUCUCCUCUGGGCAGUCCAUGAACGCAUAGCCAGUCUUCACCAGGAAGGAUCCCAACACUGGGAUCUUGGCGUCCUUGAAGAUACUUUCUAGGUCCAAGGGGACGGCGUUCUCGUGGAGGUUUCCGAUAUACAGUUUGUUCAUUGUGAAGAAUGGUUGUUUAAAAAAAUUAACGAGAAGAACGAGAAAUUAAAACCACCCAUGGUGAUGGAUGGAUCCAGCUGGUUUUGUUGCUCUCAUCUUCUCACCUUUAAAAUACACAAACACAGAAAGAACCAAGCACAAGAACAAGGAGUGAAAAAUCAGAUCCGAGGCUUGUUUUUCCUUGUCCUAGAUAUGUUUUAAAAGAGAAAGAAAAGAAAAAGCCUAGCUACAACCCAAAUGCAUCAACCAGUCUUCCUAAGUCUCGCUUUUGAAUAAUUUUCAAAUGAGAUGUACACCUAAAUUUUAAGAGUGUUUGAGUUUGUGUUUGCUUUAGUGGUGCUUUAUAUCUGUCUGAUUGUAAGCAUAAUGUUCAUGGAAAGAGACUUUUGGUAGGAAUCAAACUGGGACUCUUACAAUGGCUUAAGUCCAUCAGAAUAGUUCUGAUGCUACUUAGGAGCAUCAGAACUCCUUUCUUUGCCUGAUUUUUCAACUUAUUUCUUAAUUGGAACCCCAUAAAGAACAUGAAUGGUCUUCUGAUAUCCUUAAUGUCUUAGAGUUAUAUCAAUAUUUUGCUUACCAGUAAUCUGUAUGAAAAUAAAGUUUAUUUAGUAAACAAA